GCAUUGGUGGUUUAGUGGUAAAAUUAGCCGUUGCCAUGUCAUUCGGUCCUCACGAACAGCAUAGUCGGCUAGCCCCGGGUUCGAUUCCCGGCCGAUGCA
This 99-nucleotide transfer RNA is filed under the name Dothistroma septosporum NZE10. Its description in RNAcentral is "tRNA-Gly for anticodon GCC". It matches the Rfam family "tRNA". Rfam says of the family: Transfer RNA (tRNA) molecules are approximately 80 nucleotides in length. Their secondary structure includes four short double-helical elements and three loops (D, anti-codon, and T loops). The record is from Rfam by way of RNAcentral. Lineage: Eukaryota; Fungi; Ascomycota; Dothideomycetes; Mycosphaerellales; Mycosphaerellaceae.